Molecule: ribosomal RNA, 497 nt
Filed under: uncultured bacterium
Lineage: Bacteria
Description: partial 16S ribosomal RNA
Rfam family: Bacterial small subunit ribosomal RNA
Source: RNAcentral
GAUGAACGCUGGCGGCGUGCCUAAUACAUGCAAGUCGAGCGAACAGAUGAGGAGCUUGCUCCUCUGACGUUAGCGGCGGACGGGUGAGUAACACGUGGAUAACCUACCUAUAAGACUGGGAUAACUUCGGGAAACCGGAGCUAAUACCGGAUAAUAUAUUGAACCGCAUUGUUCAAUAGUGAAAGACGGUUUUGCUGUCACUUAUAGAUGGAUCCGCGCCGCAUUAGCUAGUUGGUAAGGUAACGGCUUACCAAGGCAACGAUGCGUAGCCGACCUGAGAGGGUGAUCGGCCACACUGGAACUGAGACACGGUCCAGACUCCUACGGGAGGCAGCAGUAGGGAAUCUUCCGCAAUGGGCGAAAGCCUGACGGAGCAAAGCCGCGUGAGUGAUGAAGGUCUUCGGAUCGUAAAACUCUGUUAUUAGGGAAGAACAAAUGUGUAAGUACCUAUGCACGUCUUGACGGUACCUAAUCAGAAAGCCACGGCUAACUACGUG